This 590-nucleotide ribosomal RNA is filed under the name uncultured bacterium. RNAcentral describes it as "bacterial SSU rRNA". It matches the Rfam family "Bacterial small subunit ribosomal RNA", at positions 338 to 946 of the family's 1533-position model. The record is from RNAcentral.
CCUACGGGAGGCAGCAGUGGGGAAUCUUGCGCAAUGGGCGAAAGCCUGACGCAGCCAUGCCGCGUGUAUGAUGAAGGUCUUAGGAUUGUAAAAUACUUUCACCGGUGAAGAUAAUGACUGUAGCCGGAGAAGAAGCCCCGGCUAACUUCGUGCCAGCAGCCGCGGUAAUACGAAGGGGGCUAGCGUUGCUCGGAAUUACUGGGCGUAAAGGGAGCGUAGGCGGACAUUUAAGUCAGAGGUGAAAUCCCGGAGCUUAACUUCGGAACUGCCUUUGAUACUGGGUGUCUUGAGUGUGAGAGAGGUAUGUGGAACUCCGAGUGUAGAGGUGAAAUUCGUAGAUAUUCGGAAGAACACCAGUGGCGAAGGCGACAUACUGGCUCAUUACUGACGCUGAGGCUCGAAAGCGUGGGGAGCAAACAGGAUUAGAUACCCUGGUAGUCCACGCCGUAAACGAUGAUUGCUAGUUGUCGGGAAGCUUGCUUCUCGGUGACGCAGCUAACGCAUUAAGCAAUCCGCCUGGGGAGUACGGUGCAAGNUUAAAACUCAAAGGAAUUGACGGNGNGAGAGNGCGAGACGACGACGAGGAGAGG